RNAcentral lists this long non-coding RNA (285 nucleotides) under Lathyrus oleraceus (garden pea). Its description in RNAcentral is "Pisum sativum (pea) long non-coding RNA (PSAT_LNC041601)". Lineage: Eukaryota; Viridiplantae; Streptophyta; Magnoliopsida; Fabales; Fabaceae. The record is from RNAcentral.
AUCACUUUGUUUAAAAACCCUUCUCCCAUGCCAAAAGGAGAAGUGAUGACAUUGUUGGCAACAUUUUGUGCAAUGAUAUUUUCAUUCAAAUAAUUCAUGUUAAACAUUUGUUUUUCCAUUUGUUUUCCCUUUUCGCUUUUUGCAUGAAAUUGGUGAUCACAAAAAACCUUAAAAAACAGGAAUAAAAGCAAUCUUUUCAUCUGCAUAACGAUUGUCUUGUUUGUUUUUCAAAGUGCUUUUUAUACUCAAAAUCUUUAUGCAGGUUGUUUCUCAAACCCAUUGAAU